RNAcentral lists this ribosomal RNA (253 nucleotides) under uncultured bacterium. RNAcentral's name for it is "partial 16S ribosomal RNA". It matches the Rfam family "Bacterial small subunit ribosomal RNA", at positions 524 to 776 of the family's 1533-position model. The record is from RNAcentral.
UACAGAGGUCCCGAGCGUUGUUCGGAUUCACUGGGCGUAAAGGGUGCGUAGGUGGUGACGUAAGUCGGAUGUGAAAUCUCGGAGCUCAACUCCGAAACGGCAUUGGAAACUGCGUUGCUAGAGGUUUGGAGGGGGGACUGGAAUGCUUGGUGUAGCAGUGAAAUGCGCAGAUAUCAGGAGGAACACCGGUGGCGAAGGCGGGUCUCUGGGCCGAUAUUGACGCUGAGGAGCGAAAGCGUGGGGAGCAAACAGG